Molecule: long non-coding RNA, 579 nt
Filed under: Capsella grandiflora
Lineage: Eukaryota; Viridiplantae; Streptophyta; Magnoliopsida; Brassicales; Brassicaceae
Description: long non-coding RNA (CGRA_LNC001617)
Source: RNAcentral
AGGGGACAAUGAUCGAAAGGACAUGGAUGUGAUUUCGUUCACUUUCUCAUCCCCUAUCAAGGGUUUAUCAUCCAAUUCACGAUCUUCUGCUAAAAUGACUGAUCAAGAUACAGAAUCAGUACUUGGUUUCAAUAAGAUUGACAGUGAUUCUCUUAAUUUACUGUUGGAGAAAAAGCUCAAAGAGCUAACCUCUAAGAUUGAGUCAUCUUGCAGUAGUGUUACCCAAGAAGAAGAGUCGUCGGGUUCCAUUACAAAGGAUUGGGUGAACGGGACAAUAUCUUUGCCGUCAGAUGAUCUGGAUAAUGGUUUAUCAGAGAGUGAAUCUGUCUCUGAUUGUAGUUCAUUAUAUAAUAAUAAAAUAUUCCAGGUUAGUCAUAUGGCCGGUUCCUUUCUCUGCUCAAGAAUAGGUCUACUUUUAGUAGCUUAUCACUGUUUCUAUAAUUCAAUAUAUAUGUUUUACCGUAAGGUUUUCUAACUCACUGACCUUUAAAAUUUUCAUAUUUCCUAUGACACAGGCAGAAGAAAAUCAGGAAGUCAACAGCUUCAGCACAGCAAGAAAUCUCCAAAUCUCCAGCAGCA